Molecule: ribosomal RNA, 440 nt
Filed under: uncultured bacterium
Lineage: Bacteria
Description: partial 16S ribosomal RNA
Rfam family: Bacterial small subunit ribosomal RNA
Source: RNAcentral
CCUACGGGGGGCAGCAGUGGGGAAUAUUGCACAAUGGGGGAAACCCUGAUGCAGCGACGCCGCGUGAGUGAAGAAGCGCCUCGGCGCGUAAAGCUCUAUCAGCAGGGACGACAAUGACGGUACCUGAAGAAGAAGCCCCGGCUAACUACGUGCCAGCAGCCGCGGUAAUACGUAGGGGGCAAGCGUUAUCCGGAUUUACUGGGUGUAAAGGGAGCGUAGACGGCAGGGCAAGUCUGGAGUGAAAGGCCGGGGCUCAACCCCCGGACCGCUCUGGAAACUGGCCGGCUGGAGUGCAGGAGAGGUAAGUGGAAUUCCUGGUGUAGCGGUGAAAUGCGUAGAUAUUAGGAGGAACACCAGCGGCGAAGGCGGCUUACUGGACCGUGACUGACGUUGAGGCUCGAAAGCGUGGGGAGCAAACAGGAUUAGAUACCCGAGUAGUC